Molecule: unclassified non-coding RNA, 594 nt
Filed under: Paraconiothyrium cyclothyrioides
Lineage: Eukaryota; Fungi; Ascomycota; Dothideomycetes; Pleosporales; Didymosphaeriaceae
Description: sequence contains ITS1, 5.8S rRNA gene and ITS2
Rfam family: 5.8S ribosomal RNA (bases 235-388)
Source: RNAcentral
UAACAAGGUUUCCGUAGGUGAACCUGCGGAAGGAUCAUUACCAAUUCAACGGUGUGGUCGCGGCCUCCGGGGGAUCCCCCCGGGCGGUAGAGGUAACACUCUUACGCGCCACAUGUCUGAAUCCUUUUUUUACGAGCACCUUUCGUUCUCCUUCGGUGGGGCAACCUGCCGUUGGAACUUAUCAAAACCUUUUUUGCAUCUAGCAUUACCUGUUCAGAUACAAACAAUCGUUACAACUUUCAACAAUGGAUCUCUUGGCUCUGGCAUCGAUGAAGAACGCAGCGAAAUGCGAUAAGUAGUGUGAAUUGCAGAAUUCAGUGAAUCAUCGAAUCUUUGAACGCACAUUGCGCCCCUUGGUAUUCCAUGGGGCAUGCCUGUUCGAGCGUCAUCUACACCCUCAAGCUCUGCUUGGUGUUGGGCGUCUGUCCCGCCUCUGCGCGUGGACUCGCCCCAAAUUCAUUGGCAGCGGUCUUUGCCUCCUCUCGCGCAGCACAUUGCGCUUCAGAGGGGCGUGGGCCGCGUCCACGAAGCAACAUUACCGUCUUUGACCUCGGAUCAGGUAGGGAUACCCGCUGAACUUAAGCAUAUCAAUAA